UUUGGUAAUUAUGCCAUAGGAGAUACACCUGUUCCCAUGCCGAACACAGUAGUUAAGUCCUAUCGGGUCGGAAGUAGUUGAGGGUCGCCCUCUGCGAGAUAAGAUCGUUGCCAAGU
Molecule: ribosomal RNA, 116 nt
Filed under: Lactococcus hircilactis
Lineage: Bacteria; Bacillati; Bacillota; Bacilli; Lactobacillales; Streptococcaceae
Source: RNAcentral